RNAcentral lists this small RNA (3748 nucleotides) under Rattus norvegicus (Norway rat). RNAcentral's name for it is "uncharacterized LOC108348977". The record is from RNAcentral. Lineage: Eukaryota; Metazoa; Chordata; Mammalia; Rodentia; Muridae.
CACAUAUGCACAUAUACUCUGGUUCUUGGGGCCCUGAGUUCGGGAAGGAACACUGAUAAGUGUUGUAAAUGCCUUUCUCAUUCCUAACAGUCUCUCCUACCCAAUGCUGCCAAAGAUACAUCAAAAUCAGCGCAGGAAGGAAGAGUCAAAUCCACGAAGCCAGUUUUCUUCCCAGGACCCAGCUAUAGGUUUGUGGGAGGCCUAAAACCAUGCUCCAGUCUCACCUGUGGCCCCGUUGCCAGGAAGAAGGAACCUCAGAGAUGAGAACCUAAGCAUUCUCCUCUGAUAGAGAUGGGCUCUGCCCUUGUGUCGUUCAGCGAGGAGGAGGUCAUGACCUUGUGAAGGACGAAAAUGGAAGGACCGAUGAAUUGCAGUGGCUGGAACACGCGCUGAGCCACCCCUCUCCCUUAAGUGAACAUGUAUGAGCUUAGCCAUCCCUCUCCCUCAGGUUGAGCCUCUAACCUGCAGGUGUCGGAAUUAUAAGGCAAGGCUUUGGAAGUGAUUCAGUCAUGAGUGUGGAGCUCUUUGGAAGUGAUUAAGUCAUGAGUGUGGUAGCCCUUACCAAAUGAUCAGUACCCGUAUGGAAAAACACCCACGGAGAUCUUAGAGGGCUCCUUGUUCUGUGUGAUGUUACGAUGAGAAGGUACCUUCUGUGUCCUGGGAAGAAAGCCUUUGCCAAACUCUGAACUUCCUGGGCUUAUGACCGUCAGAAUUAUGAGAACAAAUACCUGUUGUCUGUAAGCCGCCUACUCUCUCGUGUUUUGUUAUAGCGACCUGGAUGGAACAACACUAGCUAUGUUGACACAAUGGGGAGGCGUGUUCUACCUCCCUUCUGAGGAGAUGACAGUGAGAAUUUCAGGGAAAGGGAAAAGGAGCUUAUACACACGACCCGAGGCUAUAAGGAAGGCCAAAGCAGUUCCAGGGGCUCUAGGAAGUCAAUAGUGCAGGAAGUAAGGGAGUGGGGGUGAGAAGUCAGGUCAGAGGUCAAGGUGUGUGUCAAGCUCAGGUCCCAGGUCUUAUGGGAAGUGCAGGGUGAAUGGCCCUCAGUCACGAGACGAGACAACGAGACAACGAGACAAUGGCUCUUCCUGUACAGGAGAUGGAGGAAGCUUGAGGUGGAAGAGGAGCCCUGGGGGGUUGGGGGUGGGGGAGAAGUUGGAACAAUGGUAGCAAAAAGGUAGCCGCCUGAGAGAUGGCUCACCUCUAUGUAAACGCCAGGGGCCUCUCAGCCACAAAAGCAUCUCCUGCAGGAGGACUUAACUGAGGACUACCUGAAAGACCAAGGAUUGCAGGUGCAGACGAUGCCAGCCAAUUGGGAGCUGCUGUUUAGAAGAGACGCUUUCUCGGGACCAAUGGGGGUGCAGGUGGAGGGUCUUAAAGGAGCUUGCAGCAGAGUUCGGAUGAGCUCGCUGCAGCCUUUCUCACCUGCUCCCAGAGUCUGUGUCAUUGACUCCAUGCCACCUCACUUCCAACCCCCAAGGGCAGGUAGGGUCACUCAGUGAGUAGUCCAGGGCUCAGGCAGCAAGGCUAAGUGUGAAGGACAUGGUCAGGGUCUGCAAAGGCCACCAGCUGUUUCUGUGCAGCCCAGUGUGUGCUGGACAGGAUGUCAGUGAGGUCCCAGUGACAGCACUGCUGGUUAACAGAGUCAGUCACUUCAAGCCACAGACAAAGCAAGAGGCAGGUAUGAAUGCACUUCUAACCACCUGAGUCAAGUGCCCCAGGGGGCUUGUGUGGCUACCUGGGAGUCUCUGCUUUGGAGCUCCAGGCUUCCAUUCCUCUGGCGACUGUCCGGGUCAGUGAGACAGGUCUGUGGGUUGAAAUCUCUGACACUAUUAGCUGUGCUUCAUUUAUCUAUUGCUAAUGCACAUAGCACGGUGUCCAGUAGAAACAGUGCUCGGUACACACUGCUUGAGCGACAGCUGUGACCAACAGAGGAGGAGGUGGUGGGGCUAGCUGGAGAGCCACUCAGCAUAGGCCAGUCUCUGGAGCAGGUCCCUGAAGCCAGACCACAACAGGACAGUACAUUUUGGCAGAAAGCACAAACUCAGCUUCCUAGAUUUUUUUUUCCUCUCUUUCAAUUUCCAUGACUAACUGUAAUGAACCAUGGUCGUGUUGAAUGCCUGGGGAAAGGGUGAGGUAAGCAGAAUCCAGUUUUGGUUGUCAUGGUCAACAUUUUUAUUCCUUUGGCUGGGUCUGGCUUUAUACGUAAUUAGGACAUUGGUUAACUACUGAUGGAUGAUUUAUAAAAUCGUAUAGAAAGCAUCGUUUGAAAGACAUUUAAAUGAAAAGAGUAAACAUGGAAGACUGAGGCUCAUAAGGGAGCUAACUGGAAUCUUCUUCAGGAUCCCCCAUUUCAGUAAUGGCGGACCCAUCUAGUUUGAGGCAGAAUCUGUGGGCCAUCCUUCUCCUCCCUCUUUAUCCCCUUGGUCCAGCCCUUUAUCAUAUUCUAUGGGUUCUGUCUAUUGCCUCUCAUCCUUUUUGGGACCCAAGAAGAUCCUGGUACCCGGACCACAGGGACUAAAAUGCCUUCAGAGGCUGAAGCACACACUGAGUGAGGGCCAGUGGCUCUCCCUAGAACAGCCCGAUGUCUAUCCUUGGGCAGUGGAAGACUGGGCUCUUCCAACUCCACAAAACAUAAACUCCCAAGUUUUGAGCUUCUGAAGGAGUCAGCACCAUGUUCUCCCAGUUCUGGAGCCCGAGACCCCCAAUGUAGUCACACUGAAAGUUGGUUGAAGUGGAAACUUAACUUUUUUUUUAGAAAGUUGGUUGGAUGGCGUUUUGUUGAGACAAACACAAACAUUUAGCCGAAGUGAACACAGGUGAAAGGCUAAGGCAGACUUGUGAAGGAACGUUUAACCGAAGCAGAUACAGGAGAAUGUAUGUUCUGCUAAAGCAAGCGUGUAAAAGGACACAUAAUGAAGGAUUGUUUGCUAGCAACAAUGUAUCGAUCUGCCUUACAUCACAUAGUUGAGGUCCAUUUGUUGGGACUCCAUAGAGAGAAAUGCACCAAAAAACUUCUGGCGGUGUGCUGUAGUUUCUUGCCACUUCUGAGGACUUGGGCUGAUUGGCAGAGUGAUAUCAGCUGAGACGGACAUGUGACAGACGUGCUGAGGUGAGACCCAUGGAGGACACGUGAUGCUUGGAAGGAGUAUAACCAGGACUCAAUGGACAGUGACAGAGGCCGAGCUUGGCUUGCUUACAUAACUCAACACUUGUUGAUCUCCAGUCUUUGCUGAUCUUUGCUUCACCAAGAGGGACACAGCCAAGAACUUUUCCUGGUGUUCCUUUUGGCCCUAGUCCCUCCUGCUGACUCGAGCUGAGGCUGAGGCCUGGCUGUCUCUGCUAGGUGGUGCCACUGCUGCUGAUUCAUGUUUGCUAUCCCGACACUACUGAACAGACUACUGGUGUAUCCGUGAAGUGUUUGCAAGUGGAUCGAGCUGCCGCUGCUGACCUGUGAACUGUUGAUUUCCUGACAUAGCUUCAGAAAGGAUUAAUGUAGGUCUUAAAGGAUUCUAGCUAGUCCUUGACAAGGAGUUGUCCAAAAGCAGAAAAAGAUCAGCCCCUUCUUGCUGUCUGUCUGUCUGUACAUCAGUCCAUCUAUCUGUCUGUCGGUCUUACAUUUGAUCAUUCCCUUUGAUUUGCCUGCCUGCCAUGAUGUGACAUAGCCAGGCAAGAGUCGGGGUGGGGGACACCCGACUUUGGACUUUCAGUUUACAAAACUGUGAUCCAGAUAAACUUCUUUAUGUAA